This 253-nucleotide ribosomal RNA is filed under the name uncultured bacterium. RNAcentral describes it as "partial 16S ribosomal RNA". It matches the Rfam family "Bacterial small subunit ribosomal RNA", at positions 524 to 776 of the family's 1533-position model. The record is from RNAcentral. RNAcentral also lists the same sequence under 1 other name.
GACAGAGGUGCCAAGCGUUAGGCGGAAUCACUGGGCUUAAAGCGUGUGUAGGCGGAUGCCUAAGUACCUUGUGAAAUCCCACGGCUCACCCGUGGAACUGCUGGGUAUACUGGGCGUCUUGAGCCAGCUAGGGGUCGCCGGAACAAGUGGUGGAGCGGUGAAAUGCGUAGAUAUCACUUGGAACGCCAAAGGUGAAAACAGGCGACUGGGGCUGAGCUGACGCUGAGACACGAAAGCCAGGGGAGCGAACGGG